CCGCAGUGCCUGCGGGGCGCGGCGCUGCCUCGGGCCCGCCCGUACGGGGAGGAGGAGUGGCCCCUUCCCGGCGGAGUGGGAUGUGGGUCCCUGGGGACGGGCGGGCCCGUCGGGGCGGUAUGCAGGCGGGGAGUGCUCAGGGCGCUGCAGCUGCCGGUGAAGGGUAGCGGGUUCAGGCCGCCUGCGGCUCCCGGCCAUCAGGGGACGGACACCCGUGGGAGGCCACGCCUGUGGACACCACUGCUCCGCUGAGGAGGAGGAGGGGGCUGCGGCCGCGGGCAGCGGAGCUAAUAAGAAGCCAUACGAUGAAUAACUCCAUGACAAAGGAAAUCCCUGUAGCUCAGACUUACCUGCCGGCUUGCAUCCAACGCUCCCGACUGCAAGGCCCAGGCUGACACGGUGUUAAAGGCUUUCACAACCCUGGCGCCUGGCAACAGCUGAGCAAGGUGAACUCAAACCAGACAACCUAAGACCUCCAAGAGGAGACCCUGAGAGACCCCUCUCUUGAACUGGCCAUCAAUUUGGUACUUAGAGCAGCAAUUUAAUUAGCAGGAGCCCUGAUGGGAUAUCAUGCCAUUUAUGAGAAUGUUUUUUCUGCACAUUCUGAUUAGUCCUGGUGAGGCUGUUCCACUUGAGAAAAGCACAUGGAGGGAAAUCAUCCAGAACUAAGAACCUGUCCUCACUCCUGAUUUAAUCUUAACUUCAUGUUUUCCUAAGCAAGUCAUGGGAACUGCAUCUCCCAGUGCAAGGUUAGACCUAGCCUUUCUCCUGACCCAGGGUGAUCUACGUCGCUCUGCCAGCGCAACACACAAGGCAGCUCAGCCAAGCAUGAGAAGAGCAGUUCCAAGCUGGGUGGCCUGAACCUGUGUUUCAGUAUACUGCCACCACCGAAGUUAGAGCAUUUCUCCUGUAACCCCACCAGAAGUCACCUCAGCAAUUUAGUAAAGUUAAAAAACCAAAAAGUCACCAUUGCAAUU
This is a long non-coding RNA of Pipra filicauda (Wire-tailed manakin), 977 nucleotides long. RefSeq lists it as uncharacterized. NCBI's taxonomy places the organism in Eukaryota, Metazoa, Chordata, Aves, Passeriformes, Pipridae. The record is from RefSeq and is a predicted model, not a curated record. The transcript has 4 exons.